This 123-nucleotide ribosomal RNA is filed under the name Ilyonectria sp. Its description in RNAcentral is "partial large subunit ribosomal RNA". Lineage: Eukaryota; Fungi; Ascomycota; Sordariomycetes; Hypocreales; Nectriaceae. The record is from RNAcentral.
CGGCAACAGCUCAAAUUUGAAAUCUGGCCCUCGGGUCCGAAUUGUAAUUUGUAGAGGAUGCUUUUGGUGAGGUACCUUCCGAGUUCCCUGGAACGGGACGCCAUAGAGGGUGAGAAUCCCGUC